GCUUGCAGGGCCCAAGUUCUGCUUCCCAAGGGUCUCUUGAGCUUGCUCAAGAACUGCCUGCAGAUACUUCCCUUGGGCUUCUAUCCGCAGCUGUAGAUGCCGUUGUACCUGAUACCAAAUUAGCUUCAGGAAUCCUAUCAGCAACACCUGUACAUCCAAGGGCUGCAAAUUGUCAUCAUCCAUGAGUUGCUAUGUGGCUAUUGUAGUGGUACCUGGAGAUGGCUUUUCAGAUGGUAUAAGAAACAGAUGCCGCUCCAUUGGAAAGGAUGUCCUAGUAGUGAAGAGGUCACUCCGACCCUGAUGUUGGUGAUACAUCUGCUGCAAAAUUAAUACACACUUUUAGAAGAAUGGAAACAUAAAGAGGCAAGCAUUUACACUAUCCUUUCUUACUUGUGUUAUCCAGUCUGUUUCUUCUCUUUGCUAUCACACGUCGAAACUGUUAUGAGUGCUUCUCUUUUGGCAGUGCCAAAGCCAGCACUCUUCUCCAAGCCUAGGUCUAUUGAUACUCUUUUGGUCUUCUCAGGUUGAUAAGCAGUUUGUUGUGAGGGGUUCCUUAUAUGGGGCAACAUAGAAUCUAGCAUCUUGGAAACAAUGAUCGAAUAUUUUUUAUGCCAACUAACAUAAGGUGCUGUCCUUAUAGUUACCUCUGAAAUUAACCACCCCCCCCCCCAAAACAAAAAAAAAGUCUUUAAAAAUGCACUAACCUUUUCUCUUCCUCUUCAUGCUUUUUAUGAAUAAACCAUUUUUCUCUUCCUCUUCAUGCUUUUUAUGAAUAAAUCACUGAAAGUAUGUAUAUACUAUAGUGAUAAGGACUCACAAUUGGAACAAAUUAUUGUUUUGAAUGUUGCUUUCUGGCAUAUCAUUCUGCUAUCUGAUCUAUUUGGAGUGUGAAAGAUAAUCACUAGAUGAAAUUAUUUGAGUACUCUAUGAUCAUAGCUGAUGGAUUGUUAUUUAGUUAGUAUUUUGAAACUGUUGCAUUUUGUUUUGUUUUACCUGUUUAAUGUUUAGUUGUUUAUAGCUGGGUGGUACUUGGUAUGUGUAUAUUUUGUUUAAAUGAAAAAAAGGACACUUAAUGUUAUGGUAGUAGAUUCCUUGUGGGUAAGGACAUCCUACAUAAACAUAAAUUCUGUCAAUUUUAUUCUGUCCUUUACUACUUUAAAGCAUAUGGAAUAUGAACAAGCAUAAGUUCCAUCAGCGUCCUUUCCUAAGAUUGGUACAUAUUCACAUUUCAGUCCAGAGAACUGUGGACCAAGAGGCUUAUGCUUUUUAUGUGAGAUAAGCUCCUUUUGAACCAGAUCUCUUUGAUUGUAAUCAUCACCAGUCAAAGAAACAGUACUUAGGUACUAUGUUUCUGUAUAUGUUUCACAACUAUCAUCAUUUCAGUACUUUUGCCAGUAGAGGCAGAUAGUUUGUUCCAUCGUGCUUCUUAUCUAAGUUCGACAUGAAAAGCUAGAUGUGAUCUGUUUGGAAAUGUAUGCAGGUCUAGCCCCUCCCUUUCCCCCUUCGUUUGUUUCUAAAACAGUAGCACAAUACUAAUUAUAGCGCUUCUUGCUUGGCUCUUAAGGAUGCCUGUACUGUAGAUACUCUGAUCUUAGUUUUGUUGCUCUCCUGUAACCAAGUCUGUCAGAGUUCUUUACAUGUUAUCAUUUUGCCUUAUACCUUAUAUGCAAUUUAUUAAGGGUGUUCACCUACUGUACUUUUGCACCAUUGCUCUUUUCUGUGAUUCGGUUGAUUGAAGAGGUGCCUCAUUAGAAGUGUGCCAAUGGCAUAUGUCGACACCUGGGACCACUAGUAAGAGCUUUCACCUGUCACAAUUUAAUGGUGUUCUUUAAUCAAUGAAAUGAACUAUCAGGAAUAUAUCUCUCUUUUUGUUUCACUGUCACUGGUGAUGUUGCACUUAACUCCCAUUAAGAGCUUUCUGUGAUGGCCACUGGUAUUGCUUACCAUUACAUGCUACUGUGCUAUGUUUCUUUUUCCGGAAGUAAGAACCUCAUGAGAUUUAGGGUAGAUGGGCGAUAUGAGAUUAUUUUAUCUUUGUUAUAUGAUGUUUAUGACACUCAUUUUACCAGUCAUAAAGCUGUUGCAUCUACUGCUGUGUUAGUGCUGAUAAGUGAUGGGUAUGGAGCAUGAUACGACAGUUGUACUGGAGGGUGGGCUGUCGUGCUUUCGACAUAUAAAGAAGUUAUCAAUAGAGAAUCUAAAGCAUUAUCCCAUGCUGAUCAUCUUUUGCAAAGUGGCAUCACUUGUGGGAGCGCAGGCAGUUGUAAAGACUGAUCCUGGUAGCAGUUCUAGAAUUGUAAGUUGCAUAUGACCUGGAACUUUCUGAUCUAUCUUUCAACCUCUUCAAUUGAGUUGCCUCUGCAUCUGCAAGCAUGCCUUGCCUGUUCAACAGUAGGAUUGCAGUGAGUUGUUUGUAUGAGCUAACAAUGCAGAGUCAACACCCCAGGGUAUAGGUGUCUCUUAAUUGUUAUUAUGAUCAGGUCAAUAGAAAAAAAGGGAUAAGAGUUUCUUGUUGUUCUUUUUUUUUUGUUUGUUUAUGUAAGAUGGAUGUUUUUUUUUCUUCUAUUAAUUUUUUGUGGUAAAUAAGGAAACAGUUUUAUUUUUAGAAUCUUUCAAUUGUCAAUAAUAUUGGACCCUUUUAAUUUUCUGACCCUUUUUGCUGAGAAGAGUUCCUUUUCCAAUCUUCUUGAUCAUCCUUUGUAAAUUGGUCAUUGGUACCAUACAAAGCAAAGUACAAAUCCGGUUGGAACCAAGCCAUCCCAGUUGCAUGGGUUACUUAUCUUGUAAAUGUAGGUUCUUUGUCCAGGCACCAUGAGCUUAGUGAAUGAAGGGAUUCUUGUGCUCAAGCAAUCUCCUCAGCAUCAAUUCUUUCUUGUUGUCCUUGGCAUCUGUGUUCAUCUUCAAGUUGCCCUGCAGCCCUGCACAAUACAAUUUUCUUUCUCAUCAAUGCUCUUAGAUGCGCAGUUCUCGUCUUUUUUCUGAUGCGCCUUGCCGGCAUCCUAAUCUCAAUAUUCCUUGCGCAGCACAGAAGCUUUCAGUAGCUUUCACAGAAUAUAUGCUGCCUGAGCGUGCAAAUAAACUAUCGUAGCGACGACUAUCUUGCGCUUAGUGAUAGUUACUGUUCAGGGAUGCUUUCUUGAUCAACUAGUCUGGUCUAGUGGUUAUGUGAUGCUCUUGUAGUUCAUGGGCACUGGGGGUUUGGGGAAGCACCUGAAGGAUUCAUUCCUGAUAUGGUAUCUAAUGCCAAAUUUGCACUCUAUAUGUUUUACCUUGUUUAUGACUGCGGGUGUAGUAAUGUUCUCUGAUGCCAUGUGGUAGUAGCUAGAUUUGUUUGAACGUAAUCUAAGGUUAUAUAAGAUUACACUGAGGCAAUGAGGGGGGCAUCUUUGAUAUUUCUUCCUUGGGAGUAUCGUUGGAGCAUAUGGAAUUUCUACUCCUGGUCAGUGCUUUUGGGCUUCCUCACUUUUUCAUAUUCCAAUGAUCAGAUUAGCAUUAGUCGUUGUCAUGAGAAAUAUUCCUCUUAGAAUGUGAGCAGUUGUGCCACAUUUCGCUUCCUGGUUUAUCGCAGGAUUGGAGGUGCACUCUCUCCAUGUUACCAACCACCUGCUGAAAACUUCGUUUGUGCUAUUUCGCCACAUUGCAAAUGUGCAAAUCACUUGGUACGGGUGGCAGAAAUUUCAUCAGUCAACAGUCGUAAUUAGAUCGAACCUUGUGUCAUAUGCUUAGUCCUUCUGCCUCAUUUGUUUCACUGUACUUGUAUUAACAGCAUAGCUUGUGGCCUAUGGACAACUUUUUGCAGCCGUUUUCAUCAAUUGAACUGAAGAAUGGACUCAAGCCAUCCAGGAUUCCAGUCCCAGAUGAUGCUGGUGGAGCAAAGUCAAGAGGUCUCAGUAAGGAAUGCUUUCUUUGCCUUCCCAUUCCAUCUCUGAUCAAGUGACCAUUUGAUAUGAUCCACUGAGAAAACCACCACAUUCUUGUAAACUAAACAGUAUCACACUUAUGCAACUCAAAUCUUCUUCGCAGGAUGAUUUUUUUGCGCUGGUGAACCGGUUGCCGGAGAGGGGCAGCCGAAUCUUUUGCCGCCGACCUGACUGACGGUGCAAAUCCCCGGUGCGGGAUACGGUGGAAGGCGAUCGGCCGAACCCGGUCUGCUCCACGGCUCAAUUCAUUCAUUGUCAAUGCGCGCAUCUACUGAAGAAGCUGAUAAGCUGUCUGGCUGGGCUAACCGAAAGUCGUGUGCAAAUGCAAUGGCAUCGUCAGCUCGUCGCGGUCGUGGAUGGCGAGUUGGCGACGCGUUGGUGCGUGGCCGUGCGUCUGUCUUUUGCUUCGCACGAUCAUCAGUUUUGCAGUUGCCUUCAUCGUGGCUUUAUUUGACCAUGAGCUCCGGCCAUCUGAAUCCCCAGGAGCCCAUUGAUACGUGCACCUAAUUAAGAGCCACAUUUGCAUGAAGCAUUGGAGGGGGCAAAUCCUGAAGCUUUCGUUUUUGCAGUGGUAUAAAGCAGCUAAGGGCCUGUUUGGUAGAGUUCCAACUUCUAAAUUUAACUUCAGGAGUUGGGUCUGGAGUAGAGUUGUGGAGCUGCCUAAACCCAGCUCCACUUCUCUAGUUCAUUUUGUGAGAGAGUUUCAUCCAGCUCCACUCUCAUUUUAGGUGGAGCUGAAACUGUUUGGCUGGGUUCUAGCUCCAGGAGAUGUGGAGCUGGAGCUGAGGCUCUAUCUCUUGUUUUUUUUCUUCUUUUGGAAAGCUAAAUUCCCUAUUGUAAAAAUGUGAGUUUUCUAACUGCCAACAAUUAUAGUUAACUACAGUAACAUAUUUCAAAAUUGAAUGUUCUUCUAACA
Non-coding RNA from Oryza sativa Japonica Group (Japanese rice), 4836 nucleotides. NCBI's taxonomy places the organism in Eukaryota, Viridiplantae, Streptophyta, Magnoliopsida, Poales, Poaceae. The record is from RefSeq and is a predicted model, not a curated record.